This 595-nucleotide ribosomal RNA is filed under the name uncultured Dechloromonas sp. RNAcentral describes it as "bacterial SSU rRNA". It matches the Rfam family "Bacterial small subunit ribosomal RNA", at positions 73 to 649 of the family's 1533-position model. The record is from RNAcentral. Lineage: Bacteria; Pseudomonadati; Pseudomonadota; Betaproteobacteria; Rhodocyclales; Azonexaceae.
ACGGGCUUCGGUCUGGUGGCGAGUGGCGAACGGGUGAGUAAAGUAUCGGAACGUACCUUUCAGUGGGGGAUAACGUAGCGAAAGUUACGCUAAUACCGCAUAUUCUGUGAGCAGGAAAGCAGGGGAUCGCAAGACCUUGCGCUGAUUGAGCGGCCGAUAUCAGAUUAGCUAGUUGGUGGGGUAAAGGCCUACCAAGGCGACGAUCUGUAGCGGGUCUGAGAGGAUGAUCCGCCACACUGGAACUGAGACACGGUUCCAGACUCCUACGGGAGGCAGCAGUGGGGGAAUUUUUGGACAAUGGGGGGCAACCCUUGAUCCAGCCAUGCCCGCGUGAGUGAAAGAAAGCCUUUCGGGUUGUAAAGCUUCUUUUCGGCCGGGGAAGAAAAUCGCAUGGGGCUAAAUACCCUGUGUGGAUGACGGUACCGGAAUAAGAAGCACCGGCUAACUACGUGCCAGCAGCCGCGGUAAUACGUAGGGUGCGAGCGUUAAUCGGAAUUACUGGGCGUAAAGCGUGCGCAGGCGGUUUAGUAAGACAGGCGUGAAAUCCCCGGGCUCAACCUGGGAACUGCGCUUGGUGACUGCUAAGCUAGAGUAC